GAUGAAGAACGUAGCGAAAUGCGAUACGUAAUGUGAAUUGCAGAAUUCAGUGAAUCAUCGAGUCUUUGAACGCACAUUGCGCCCCCUGGUAUUCCGGGGGGCAUGCCUGUCCGAGCGUCAUUUCUGCCCUCAAGCCCGGCUUGUGUGUUGGGUCUCGUCCCCCUUCCCGGGGGGGCGGGCCCGAAAGGCAGCGGCGGCACCGUGUCCGGUCCUCGAGCGUAUGGGGCUUUGUCACCCGCUCUGUAGGCCCGGCCGGCGCUUGCCGAUCAACCAAAACUUUUUUCCAGGUUGACCUCGGAUCAGGUAGGGAUACCCGCUGAACUUAAGCAUAUCAAUAAGCGGAGGA
This 346-nucleotide unclassified non-coding RNA is filed under the name soil metagenome. RNAcentral describes it as "partial contains 5.8S ribosomal RNA, internal transcribed spacer 2, and large subunit ribosomal RNA". The stretch from base 1 to 120 matches the Rfam family "5.8S ribosomal RNA", at positions 35 to 154 of the family's 154-position model. The record is from RNAcentral.